GCCUGAUGCAGCAACGCCGCGUGAGGGACGACGGCCUUCGGGUUGUAAACCUCUUUUAGUAGGGAAGAAGCGAAAGUGACGGUACCUGCAGAAAAAGCACCGGCUAACUACGUGCCAGCAGCCGCGGUAAUACGUAGGGUGCAAGCGUUGUCCGGAAUUAUUGGGCGUAAAGAGCUCGUAGGCGGUUUGUCGCGUCUGCUGUGAAAACUGGAGGCUCAACCUCCAGCCUGCAGUGGGUACGGGCAAACUAGAGUGCGGUAGGGGAGAUUGGAAUUCCUGGUGUAGCGGUGGAAUGCGCAGAUAUCAGGAGGAACACCGAUGGCGAAGGCAGAUCUCUGGGCCGUAACUGACGCUGAGGAGCGAAAGCGUGGGGAGCGAACAGGAUUAGAUACCCUGGUAGUCCACGCCGUAAACGUUGGGAACUAGAUGUGGGGGCCAUUCCACGGCUUCCGUGUCGCAGCUAACGCAUUAAGUUCCCCGCCUGGGGAGUACGGCCGCAAGGCUAAAACUCAAAGGAAUUGACGGGGGCCCGCACAAGCGGCGGAGCAUGCGGAUUAAUUCGAUGCAACGCGAAGAACCUUACCAAGGCUUGACAUAUACGAGAACGCUGCAGAAAUGUAGAACUCUUUGGACACU
RNAcentral lists this ribosomal RNA (636 nucleotides) under Leifsonia sp. Ri2Pt_3931. RNAcentral describes it as "bacterial SSU rRNA". It matches the Rfam family "Bacterial small subunit ribosomal RNA", at positions 381 to 1028 of the family's 1533-position model. The record is from RNAcentral. Lineage: Bacteria; Bacillati; Actinomycetota; Actinomycetes; Micrococcales; Microbacteriaceae.